This 497-nucleotide ribosomal RNA is filed under the name uncultured bacterium. Its description in RNAcentral is "partial 16S ribosomal RNA". It matches the Rfam family "Bacterial small subunit ribosomal RNA", at positions 28 to 507 of the family's 1533-position model. The record is from RNAcentral.
GAUGAACGCUGGCGGCGUGCCUAAUACAUGCAAGUCGAGCGAACAGACGAGGAGCUUGCUCCUCUGACGUUAGCGGCGGACGGGUGAGUAACACGUGGAUAACCUACCUAUAAGACUGGGAUAACUUCGGGAAACCGGAGCUAAUACCGGAUAAUAUAUUGAACCGCAUGGUUCAAUAGUGAAAGACGGUUUUGCUGUCACUUAUAGAUGGAUCCGCGCCGCAUUAGCUAGUUGGUACGGUAACGGCUUACCAAGGCAACGAUGCGUAGCCGACCUGAGAGGGUGAUCGGCCACCCUGGAACUUAGACACGGUCCAGACUCCUACGGGAGGCAGCAGUAGGGAAUCUUCCGCAAUGGGCGAAAGCCUGACGGAGCAACGCCGCGUGAGUGAUGAAGGUCUUCGGAUCGUAAAACUCUGUUAUUAGGGAAGAACAAAUGUGUAAGUAACUAUGCACGUCUUGACGGUACCUAAUCAGAAAGCCACGGCUAACUACGUG